CUUGAAGCUGCUUCCGCAGUUGUCAUCUCUACGUCAAAGAAUGCAAUGUCUUGCCUGAGAACAGCUUCGAGGUAUAACGAUCGCAACCGUGUCGCCUGCCUUUCUCCAGCUACUGUCCAACAUGACACCUCUGGAGCAGGGUCGUUCUCUACUUGGUUCAAGUAGUAAGUAGAAUGUUUGCCGCAUGAUGAAGCACCGAAGUUGUGAAACUUUGGUACUAAUGUGAAUAACAGAAAAUGUCGGAAUCUUAGCAAAUACCCCAAAUUGUGACCGUAUUCAAGCCAUGCAUCCAAUCGGUAGUGCCCAGUUUCAGUUUGUUCUCUAGGGAACUUUGUGAAUGAGCUACAAUAACGAAAGUUUCCGUUUUCUUUGUUUUAGCUUUCACUACUUCUAUGACCCAACAAGAACUCCAGCUGUUCCAACUCAUAUCUACAUUUUUUUUUGGAGCAAACUCCUACCUACUAUUUAGUUAUUGGGCAUCAUCAUUCGUUCA
This is a long non-coding RNA of Panicum virgatum (switchgrass), 493 nucleotides long. RefSeq lists it as uncharacterized. Lineage: Eukaryota; Viridiplantae; Streptophyta; Magnoliopsida; Poales; Poaceae. The transcript has 2 exons. The record is from RefSeq and is a predicted model, not a curated record.